AAAGUAUGAAGUUGAGUAUUACAAAACCCAUGUAGGUCAUGAUGAAGAAAUUAGAGCACAGCAUUUAUCACAAAUCGAAAAGGCCGUUUUUAUUGAUAAGUUGAAAAUGGGUAUUAUUGCUCAAAGAAUAAUUGACUAUGCAAGACAGCUUGAGUCUGCCAAUAAACUAUACCAGGUUGAAUUUGCUAAACCCGAAAGAUCUUCACUACUUAGCAGCAAGAAAUGGAUUUAAUAAAAGAAGGCAUAAUGAAAUAAUGGCGGUAACCUUGAAUAUUCAAGAAUGGAAUAGCACUGACAAAAAUUAGGCAUUUCUCUGGAAACAGCAAGGCACUAAAAGAAGCAGUUCAACAACCAUUGAUGUGUGAUUAUUUUAUGACGGAUGAUGACCCCAAAUACUAUAACGCUUGGAGUAAUGUGAUGGAGCACCAGCCACAAAAAUUUCUUUGUUCGUGGCAUAUAAUAAGAAGGUGGUGCCUACAAGGAAGAACAAAACUGAAGAAUCCCGAGAUCCAGAAAACUAUGAAAAUACAGAUGAAGAAAAUAUUAAAUGAAGUGGACCGACAGAAAUUUAAAAAACUAACAGAAGAUUACUUUACCAAAUUGAAAAAUGAUGAUGAAGAUAUAUUUUUGAACUAUUUACAAAAGUAAUUAAAUUCUAUACACAAAUGACGUUUUGGGUGAUUU
This is a long non-coding RNA of Dendroctonus ponderosae (mountain pine beetle), 684 nucleotides long. RefSeq lists it as uncharacterized. Lineage: Eukaryota; Metazoa; Arthropoda; Insecta; Coleoptera; Curculionidae. The record is from RefSeq and is a predicted model, not a curated record. The transcript is spliced from 3 exons.